RNAcentral lists this long non-coding RNA (1552 nucleotides) under Limulus polyphemus (Atlantic horseshoe crab). Its description in RNAcentral is "uncharacterized LOC111088535". Lineage: Eukaryota; Metazoa; Arthropoda; Merostomata; Xiphosura; Limulidae. The record is from RNAcentral.
GUAUUCAUGAUUUGGUGUUUCGCACCAGUUAAUUUCAAUGGUUCUCAGUUCAUCUACCGUCGUUUCAUUAGACCAGUUUUUCUGAAGAACAAAGAAAAAAUUGACAAUUACAUUGACUCAGCUGUAUCUAAGGCUACUGAUUUUGCUGGCAAAGCUGCCACCAAGUUAGCUACUGAAGGAAUAAAGAAAGAAGAGUAAAAUACCGUCAUUCCUAUUUUCUAAUACUUACCAUUGUGUAUGUUUCCAAAAUAUCAACUGCAUAUAAUUUCUUUAACUGACUUGCAAUUCUGUUUUGUUUAAUUUUUUCCAAGUUUAUAUUCAAAAAUCAUGAGGAAAAAAAAGUGUAUUAAUUCUGCUUAGUAUUAUUAGCAUGCCUAUAGCUUUUUAACUUACCUUCUCAACAUACAAUUUUUUUUUUUUUUUUACAUUUGUUGUUAAAAAAGUUAUUGGUUCUCCUUUUUCUCUGUUCAGCAGCAUUCAACCAUAUCAUCAGAAGACUUUUUGUACAUAGAACAAAACAUAAAUCAAAUUAUAUGUUUCUGUUGUUCAUGAAAUGCACCUAACUUUAGUGCUGAUUUGUAUUUCAGUUUUGGAAGAGUGACUUGUCAAAAAGUUUUUAUUGUAAUUUGAAUAUGAUGGAAUAAGUUUGAUUAUACAAGUGCACUUUUCUGUUUGUUACGCCAGACAUUGAUAUUCAAAAUUCAUAACUAGCAAUUCAAUAUAAUUUUUUUACUAGCAAAUGUGAAAAAAUAGCUGAUACACCAAUGUGCAUAUUAAUCUUUGCAAAGUAAUGAUGACCUUUUUUUUUCUUCUUUCUCUCACUCAUGGUGAAAUAUUUCGCUACAUUUUCCCCAAGAAAAAUAAUUCAACUGAAAAGAAUUUUUUUUAAAUUAUCAAUAUAAUAUACUUGUUCUUUUCAAAGUGAACUCUUUAUAUAUUCAAAUUAACUAUACUUUUUGAACAUGUACUAGACAGAAGUAUUUUUUUACAGAGAGAACUCUGUAUAUUCAAAGUAGCCAUACAUUUUUUGAAAUUUCUUUGGAACAGAAUAAUGACAUUAAUAUUUUAUCUUUUUUAAAAUUAAUCACAUUUUUUUUUAAAUAUAUUAUUGUGUAAACACAGGGCUUCCUAUAAAUGAGUUACAUCAAUUAUGUGGUUUAAAAUUUAGAUCUGCUAUAUAGAUAAUCUUAAAAAUAAACCUGAGAUUAAAAAAUUUCUUGAUGGUGAAGCACAAUGCCCAAUUUCUUGCUUGAAAGUGUAAUAGUGACACACCUAAUUAUUGUAGAUUUUCUGUGGAAUGUUUUUAAAUUUAAUUUCUUUUCCAUGUUAUGAGCACAGAAAAAACAUUGAUCAUCCUUUUCUAGCAAUGUGCUUUAUUCUUCAAGUGUUCUCACAUUAUUGUAUAGUAUAUGAUAUGCAGGAAUGUGUGUGUCUUUGUGCUCUUAUGCACACCCUGUUCUAAAAAGUUUAAUACUGAAGUUGUUUUGAAUUAAAUAAUUGAGUUUAAAGACUGUUAUAUCUGAUAGAAUAAAAAGAAAUGUUUACAAUGGUU